This is a long non-coding RNA of Drosophila sulfurigaster albostrigata, 380 nucleotides long. RefSeq lists it as uncharacterized. NCBI's taxonomy places the organism in Eukaryota, Metazoa, Arthropoda, Insecta, Diptera, Drosophilidae. The record is from RefSeq and is a predicted model, not a curated record. The transcript has 2 exons.
AAAAUUACAUCCACAACAUUUUAAAAUCAAAGCAUUAACGAAUACUCUAAACAUAAUGGAUUACUUAAAAUUAGAAUACAAUUUUUACUUCCAAGUCUGCGACGUGUUGUUUUGUCGCCAGCAAGGUAGACUUUUUCACGUGAAUUUUCGACUCGAUUUCAGUGGAAUAGCGGCGCCAGGUGCACCAAAUAAAGAGUUGGCCAACCGUUUCCACAUAAAAUCAACGAACAUUUUCACUUAUUAACAACAAUGAAUGCUCGCCAUAAAAAAGAGGAAAAUAAUACUAGCAUUCAAUAUUUGAAUAAAGCAAAAUGAAAAUGUGACUGUGACUAUUUCGAAUGAAACAUUAAAAUUCCAUUAGCGGAUGCGUUGCACAUAAA